This 301-nucleotide ribosomal RNA is filed under the name uncultured bacterium. RNAcentral's name for it is "partial 16S ribosomal RNA". It matches the Rfam family "Bacterial small subunit ribosomal RNA", at positions 509 to 807 of the family's 1533-position model. The record is from RNAcentral.
CAGUAGCCGCGGGAAUACAGAGGGUGCGAGCGUUAAUCGGAUUUACUGGGCGUAAAGCGUGCGUAGGCGGCUUCUUAAGUCGGAUGUGAAAUCCCUGAGCUUAACUUAGGAAUUGCAUUCGAUACUGGGAAGCUAGAGUAUGGGAGAGGAUGGUAGAAUUCCAGGUGUAGCGGUGAAAUGCGUAGAGAUCUGGAGGAAUACCGAUGGCGAAGGCAGCCAUCUGGCCUAAUACUGACGCUGAGGUACGAAAGCGUGGGGAGCAAACAGGAUUAGAUACCCGAGUAGUCCCUGUCUCUUAUAC